RNAcentral lists this ribosomal RNA (178 nucleotides) under uncultured bacterium. Its description in RNAcentral is "partial 16S ribosomal RNA". It matches the Rfam family "Bacterial small subunit ribosomal RNA", at positions 1315 to 1500 of the family's 1533-position model. The record is from RNAcentral.
ACUCCACGAAGUUGGAUUCGCUAGUAAUCGCGCAUCAGCCAUGGCGCGGUGAAUACGUUCCCGGGCCUUGUACACACCGCCCGUCAAGCCAUGGGAGCCGGGGGCGCCUGAAGUCCGGGACCGCGAGGACCGGCCUAGGGCGAAACUGGUGACUGGGGCUAAGUCGUAACAAGGUAGC